This 484-nucleotide ribosomal RNA is filed under the name Streptococcus vestibularis. RNAcentral describes it as "bacterial SSU rRNA". It matches the Rfam family "Bacterial small subunit ribosomal RNA", at positions 28 to 495 of the family's 1533-position model. The record is from RNAcentral. Lineage: Bacteria; Bacillati; Bacillota; Bacilli; Lactobacillales; Streptococcaceae.
GACGAACGCUGGCGGCGUGCCUAAUACAUGCAAGUAGAACGCUGAAGAGAGGAGCUUGCUCUUCUUGGAUGAGUUGCGAACGGGUGAGUAACGCGUAGGUAACCUGCCUUGUAGCGGGGGAUAACUAUUGGAAACGAUAGCUAAUACCGCAUAACAAUAGGUGACACAUGUCAUUUAUUUGAAAGGGGAAUUGCUCCACUACAAGAUGGACCUGCGUUGUAUUAGCUAGUAGGUGAGGUAACGGCUCACCUAGGCGACGAUACAUAGCCGACCUGAGAGGGUGAUCGGCCACACUGGGACUGAGACACGGCCCAGACUCCUACGGGAGGCAGCAGUAGGGAAUCUUCGGCAAUGGGGGCAACCCUGACCGAGCAACGCCGCGUGAGUGAAGAAGGUUUUCGGAUCGUAAAGCUCUGUUGUAAGUCAAGAACGAGUGUGAGAGUGGAAAGUUCACACUGUGACGGUAUCUUACCAGAAAGGCGGU